RNAcentral lists this ribosomal RNA (778 nucleotides) under uncultured bacterium. Its description in RNAcentral is "bacterial SSU rRNA". It matches the Rfam family "Bacterial small subunit ribosomal RNA", at positions 8 to 814 of the family's 1533-position model. The record is from RNAcentral.
AGAGUUUGAUCAUGGCUCAGGAUGAACGCUGGCGGCGUGCCUAACACAUGCAAGUCGAGCGAUUCUCUUCGGAGAAGAGCGGCGGACGGGUGAGUAACGCGUGGGUAACCUGCCCUGUACACACGGAUAACAUACCGAAAGGUAUGCUAAUACGAGAUAAUAUACUUUUAUCGCAUGGUAGAAGUAUCAAAGCUCCGGUGGUACAGGAUGGACCCGCGUCUGAUUAGCUAGUUGGUAAGGUAACGGCUUACCAAGGCGACGAUCAGUAGCCGACCUGAGAGGGUGAUCGGCCACAUUGGAACUGAGACACGGUCCAAACUCCUACGGGAGGCAGCAGUGGGGAAUAUUGCACAAUGGGCGAAAGCCUGAUGCAGCAACGCCGCGUGAGCGAUGAAGGCCUUCGGGUCGUAAAGCUCUGUCCUCAAGGAAGAUAAUGACGGUACUUGAGGAGGAAGCCCCGGCUAACUACGUGCCAGCAGCCGCGGUAAUACGUAGGGGGCUAGCGUUAUCCGGAAUUACUGGGCGUAAAGGGUGCGUAGGUGGUCUCUUAAGUCAGAGGUGAAAGGCUACGGCUCAACCGUAGUAAGCCUUUGAAACUGGGAAACUUGAGUGCAGGAGAGGAGAGUGGAAUUCCUAGUGUAGCGGUGAAAUGCGUAGAUAUUAGGAGGAACACCAGUUGCGAAGGCGGCUCUCUGGACUGUAACUGACACUGAGGCACGAAAGCGUGGGGAGCAAACAGGAUUAGAUACCCUGGUAGUCCACGCCGUAAACGAUGAGU